UCUGGUUGAUUCUGCCAGACCUGACUGCUAUCGGGAUACGACUUAGCCAUGCAAGUUGAAUGGUUCUCGCAACCAUGGCGCACUGCUCAGUAACACGUAGAUAACCUACCCUAGGGUUGGGGAUAAUCCCGGGAAACUGGGCAUAAUCCCCAAUAGAUAAGCUGUACUGGAAUGUCUUCUUAUUCAAACCUCCGGGGCCCUAGGAUGGGUCUGCGGCGGAUUAUGGUAGUAGGUGGGGUAACGGCCCCCCUAGCCUUUGAUCCGUACCGGACAUGAAAGUGUGAGCCGGGAGAUGGCCACUGAGACAAUGGGCCAGGCCCCACGGGGUGCAGCAGGCGCGAAAACUCUACAAUGCCCGAAAGGGUGAUAGGGGAAUCCCGAGUGCUUCCUUAGCCGGAAGCUUUUCUCGAGCGUAAUGUUCUCGAGGAAUAAGGGGAGGGCAAGGCUGGUGCCAGCCGCCGCGGUAAAACCAGCUCCCCGAGUGGUCAGGAUGAUUAUUGGGCCUAAAGCGUCCGUAGCCGGUUGUGUUAGUCGUUGGUGAAAGGUCGGGUCUUAAGCCCGAAUUUGCUAGCGAUACUGCGCGACUCGGGACCGGAAGAGGCAAAUGGUACGUUGAGGGUAGGGGUGAAAUCCUGUAAUCCCCAACGGACCACCGGUGGCGAAGGCGAUUUGCUGGGACGGAUCUGACGGUGAGGGACGAAACCCAGGGGAGCGAGCGGGAUUAGAUACCCCGGUAGUCCUGGGUGUAAACGAUGCGCACUAGGUGUUGGCGAAGCUACGAGCUCCGCCGGUGCCGAAGCGAAGGCGUUAAGUGCGCCGCCUGGGGAGUACGGUCGCAAGACUGAAACUUAAAGAAAUUGACGGGGGAGCACCACCAGGGGAGGAGCCUGCGGUUCAAUUGGACUCAACGCACGAACCGUACGUUCCAGAUGUGACAAGGGUUCCUGCGGGUCAAACGCCGGAAAACUUACCGGAGUCGACAGCAUGAUGAUGGCCAGGCUGAAGACCUUGCUUGAAGCGCUGAGAGGAGGUGCAUGGCCGUCGCCAGCUCGUACCGUGAGGCGUCCUCUUAAGUGAGGCAACGAGCGAGACCUUCAUCCACAGUUGCCAGCACAAGAUGGUAUCUUGGUGGGCACACUGCGGAGACCGCCCGCGAAAAGUGGGAGGAAGGUGAAGGCCACGGCAGGUCAGUAUGCCCCGAAAGCUCCGGGCCACACGCGGGCUACAAUGGCUGGGACAGAAGGCCCCAACCUUGAAAGAGGAAGGAAAUCCUUAAACCCAGUCUCAGUUGGGAUUGAGGGCUGCAACCCGCCCUCAUGAACGUGGAUUCCCUAGUAAUCGCGUGUCAUCUAUCGCGCGAUGAAUACGUCCCUGCUCCUUGUACACACCGCCCGUCGUUGCACUCGAGUUGGGUUUGCCUGAGGCUGCAUUUUCCUUCGGGAAGGCGUAGACGAAGGUGAGUUCGAUAAGAGGGCAAAAGUCGUAACAAGGUA
This 1493-nucleotide ribosomal RNA is filed under the name metagenome. Its description in RNAcentral is "bacterial SSU rRNA". It matches the Rfam family "Archaeal small subunit ribosomal RNA". The record is from RNAcentral.